ACAUGGAACUUUGGUUUCUUUAC
This 23-nucleotide small nuclear RNA is filed under the name Arabidopsis thaliana (thale cress). RNAcentral describes it as "snRNA_19146". The record is from RNAcentral. Lineage: Eukaryota; Viridiplantae; Streptophyta; Magnoliopsida; Brassicales; Brassicaceae.